UUAAGCGACUAAGCGUACACGGUGGAUGCCCUGGCAGUCAGAGGCGAUGAAGGACGUGCUAAUCUGCGAAAAGCGUCGGUAAGGUGAUAUGAACCGUUAUAGCCGGCGAUGUCCGAAUGGGGAAACCCAGUGCAAUUCGUUGCACUAUCGUUAAGUGAAUACAUAGCUUAACGAGGCGAACCGGGGGAACUGAAACAUCUAAGUACCCCGAGGAAAAGAAAUCAACCGAGAUUCCCCCAGUAGCGGCGAGCGAACGGGGAGCAGCCCAGAGCCUGAAUCAGCAUGUGUGUUAGUGGAACGGUCUGGAAAGGCCGGCGAUACAGGGUGACAGCCCCGUACACAAAAGUGCAUGUGUUGUGAGCUCGAUGAGUAGGGCGGGACACGUGGUAUCCUGUCUGAAUAUGGGGGGACCAUCCUCCAAGGCUAAAUACUCCUGACUGACCGAUAGUGAACCAGUACCGUGAGGGAAAGGCGAAAAGAACCCCGGCGAGGGGAGUGAAAAAGAACCUGAAACCGUGUACGUACAAGCAGUGGGAGCCUCUUAAUGGGGUGACUGCGUACCUUUUGUAUAAUGGGUCAGCGACUUAUAUUCUGUAGCAAGGUUAACCGAAUAGGGGAGCCGAAGGGAAACCGAGUCUUAACUGGGCGUUAAGUUGCAGGGUAUAGACCCGAAACCCGGUGAUCUAGCCAUGGGCAGGUUGAAGGUUGGGUAACACUAACUGGAGGACCGAACCGACUAAUGUUGAAAAAUUAGCGGAUGACUUGUGGCUGGGGGUGAAAGGCCAAUCAAACCGGGAGAUAGCUGGUUCUCCCCGAAAGCUAUUUAGGUAGCGCCUCGUGAACUCAUCUUCGGGGGUAGAGCACUGUUUCGGCUAGGGGGUCAUCCCGACUUACCAACCCGAUGCAAACUGCGAAUACCGAAGAAUGUUAUCACGGGAGACACACGGCGGGUGCUAACGUCCGUCGUGAAGAGGGAAACAACCCAGACCGCCAGCUAAGGUCCCAAAGUCAUGGUUAAGUGGGAAACGAUGUGGGAAGGCUCAGACAGCCAGGAUGUUGGCUUAGAAGCAGCCAUCAUUUAAAGAAAGCGUAAUAGCUCACUGGUCGAGUCGGCCUGCGCGGAAGAUGUAACGGGGCUAAACCAUGCACCGAAGCUGCGGCAGCGAACGUAUCACUUAAAACGAUUUACAGGGUUAACGAUUGACGGAGCGAAGCGACGUCAAAGCGUUUUACAACGUUGAGUCGGUUUAAGGAUACGUUCGUUGGGUAGGGGAGCGUUCUGUAAGCCUGUGAAGGUGUGCUGUGAGGCAUGCUGGAGGUAUCAGAAGUGCGAAUGCUGACAUAAGUAACGAUAAAGCGGGUGAAAAGCCCGCUCGCCGGAAGACCAAGGGUUCCUGUCCAACGUUAAUCGGGGCAGGGUGAGUCGACCCCUAAGGCGAGGCCGAAAGGCGUAGUCGAUGGGAAACAGGUUAAUAUUCCUGUACUUGGUGUUACUGCGAAGGGGGGACGGAGAAGGCUAUGUUGGCCGGGCGACGGUUGUCCCGGUUUAAGCGUGUAGGUGUGUGUUCCAGGUAAAUCCGGUUCACUUUAACACUGAGGCGUGAUGACGAGGCACUACGGUGCUGAAGUAACAAAUGCCCUGCUUCCAGGAAAAGCCUCUAAGCAUCAGGUAACAUUAAAUCGUACCCCAAACCGACACAGGUGGUCAGGUAGAGAAUACCAAGGCGCUUGAGAGAACUCGGGUGAAGGAACUAGGCAAAAUGGUGCCGUAACUUCGGGAGAAGGCACGCUGAUAUGUAGGUGAAGUGAUUAACUCAUGGAGCUGAAAUCAGUCGAAGAUACCAGCUGGCUGCAACUGUUUAUUAAAAACACAGCACUGUGCAAACACGAAAGUGGACGUAUACGGUGUGACGCCUGCCCGGUGCCGGAAGGUUAAUUGAUGGGGUUAUCCGUAAGGAGAAGCUCUUGAUCGAAGCCCCGGUAAACGGCGGCCGUAACUAUAACGGUCCUAAGGUAGCGAAAUUCCUUGUCGGGUAAGUUCCGACCUGCACGAAUGGCGUAAUGAUGGCCAGGCUGUCUCCACCCGAGACUCAGUGAAAUUGAACUCGCUGUGAAGAUGCAGUGUACCCGCGGCAAGACGGAAAGACCCCGUGAACCUUUACUAUAGCUUGACACUGAACACUGGUCCUUGAUGUGUAGGAUAGGUGGGAGGCUUUGAAGUGUGGACGCCAGUCUGCAUGGAGCCGCCCUUGAAAUACCACCCUUUAAUGGCUGGUGUUCUAACGUAGGCCCGUAAUCCGGGUUGCGGACAGUGUCUGGUGGGUAGUUUGACUGGGGCGGUCUCCUCCUAAAGAGUAACGGAGGAGCACGAAGGUUAGCUAAUCCUGGUCGGACAUCAGGAGGUUAGUGCAAAGGCAUAAGCUAGCUUGACUGCGAGCGUGACGGCGCGAGCAGGUGCGAAAGCAGGUCUUAGUGAUCCGGUGGUUCUGAAUGGAAGGGCCAUCGCUCAACGGAUAAAAGGUACUCCGGGGAUAACAGGCUGAUACCGCCCAAGAGUUCAUAUCGACGGCGGUGUUUGGCACCUCGAUGUCGGCUCAUCACAUCCUGGGGCUGAAGUAGGUCCCAAGGGUAUGGCUGUUCGCCAUUUAAAGUGGUACGCGAGCUGGGUUUAGAACGUCGUGAGACAGUUCGGUCCCUAUCUGCCGUGGGCGCUGGAGAAUUGAGGGGGGCUGCUCCUAGUACGAGAGGACCGGAGUGGACGCAUCACUGGUGUUCGGGUUGUCAUGCCAAUGGCACUGCCCGGUAGCUAAAUGCGGAAGAGAUAAGUGCUGAAAGCAUCUAAGCACGAAACUUGCCCCGAGAUGAGUUCUCCCUGACCCUUAAAGGGUCCUGAAGGAACGUUGAAGACGACGACGUUGAUAGGCCGGGUGUGUAAGCGCAGCGAUGCGUUGAGCUAACCGGUACUAAUGAACCGUGAGGCUUAACCU
RNAcentral lists this ribosomal RNA (2987 nucleotides) under Citrobacter farmeri. RNAcentral's name for it is "23S ribosomal RNA". It matches the Rfam family "Bacterial large subunit ribosomal RNA". The record is from RNAcentral. Lineage: Bacteria; Pseudomonadati; Pseudomonadota; Gammaproteobacteria; Enterobacterales; Enterobacteriaceae.